UACGGAGGGUGCAAGCGUUGUUCGGAUUUACUGGGCUUAAAGGGCGUGUAGGCGGGUCGUCAAGUGUCUGGUGAAAGCCCCGGGCUCAACCCGGGAAGGGCUGGGCAUACUGGCGAUCUUGAGGUAGGUAGAGGUGACUGGAACAACGGGUGGAGCGGUGAAAUGCGUAGAUAUCCGUUGGAACGCCGGAGGCGAAAGCGGGUCACUGGGCCUGUCCUGACGCUGAGACGCGAAAGCGUGGGGAGCAAACGGG
RNAcentral lists this ribosomal RNA (253 nucleotides) under uncultured bacterium. RNAcentral's name for it is "partial 16S ribosomal RNA". It matches the Rfam family "Bacterial small subunit ribosomal RNA", at positions 524 to 776 of the family's 1533-position model. The record is from RNAcentral.